UACGUAGGGGGCAAGCGUUGUCCGGAUUUAUUGGGCGUAAAGAGCGUGUAGGCGGCCAGACAAGUCUGCUGUGAAAACUCGAGGCUCAACCUCGAGCUGUCGGUGGAAACUGUCUGGCUAGAGUCCGGAAGAGGAGAGUGGAAUUCCUGGUGUAGCGGCGAAAUGCGCAGAUAUCAGGAAGAACACCUAUGGCGAAGGCAGCUCUCUGGGACGGUACUGACGCUGAGACGCGAAAGCGUGGGGAGCGAACAGG
This 253-nucleotide ribosomal RNA is filed under the name uncultured bacterium. RNAcentral's name for it is "partial 16S ribosomal RNA". It matches the Rfam family "Bacterial small subunit ribosomal RNA", at positions 524 to 776 of the family's 1533-position model. The record is from RNAcentral.